RNAcentral lists this long non-coding RNA (1196 nucleotides) under Junco hyemalis (dark-eyed junco). RNAcentral describes it as "lncRNA (ENSJHYG00000016034.1)". Lineage: Eukaryota; Metazoa; Chordata; Aves; Passeriformes; Passerellidae. The record is from RNAcentral.
AGAGUAACCAUAGGCUGGCCUGAGAGUGACCACUGAGUGACCACUGAGUGACCACGUGCUGGCCUGAGAAUGACCAUGGAGUGACCGCUGACCACUGAGUGACCAGCCAGGAAUGGCCACUGACCAACUGACCACAUGGGAGUGACCAACUGACCAUCCAGAAAUGAAUGGAGUGGACACAGAGUGGACACAGAGUGGACACAGAGUGGACAUUAAAAUGGACACUGACCACACCAGGGGUCACCUGUUCCAAUUUUUGGGACCCCAGCCCCAAAUUUUGGGGUUCUGGACCCGAUUUUGUUACCCCGGCCCCAAAUUUGGGGUCCUUAACCCAAAUUUUGGGGUUCUGAACCCAAAUUUUGGGGUUCUGGACUCAGAUUUUGGGGUCCCAAACCCAAAUUUUAGAGUCCUAAACCGAAAUUUUGGGACCCCGACCCCAAAUGUUAAGACCCCACCCCAUUUUCAUCUCCCCUGACCCCAAAUUUUUUUAUUCUGACCCCAAAUUUUGGGACCCCAGCCCCAAAUUUCGGGGUCCUCGCCCCCAAUUUUGAGACCGCAACCCCAAAUUUUGUAAUUCUGACCCCAAAUUUUGAGACCCCGACCCCAUUUUUGGGACCCCAGCCCCAAAUUUUAGGACCCCAAUCCCAAAUUUUGGGAUUCUGACCCCAAAUUUCGGGACCUUGACCCCAAAUUUUGGGACCCCAGCUCCAUUUUCACCCCUCCAACCCCAAAUUUUGGGACCCCAACCCCAAAUUUUGUGAUUCUGACCCCAAAUUUUAGGACCCCAAUCCCAAAUUUUGGGGUUCUGAUCCCAAAUUUUGGGACCCCAGCCCCAUUUCUGGGACCCCGACCCCAAAUUUUGAAGUUCUGACCCCAAAUUUUUGGACCCCAACCCCAUUUUUGGGACCCCAGCCCCAUUUUUAGGCUUCUGAACCCAAAUUUUGGGACCCCGACCCCAAAUUUUCUCAUUCUGACCCCAAAUUUUGGGACCCCAGCCCCAAAUUUUGUGAUUCCGACCCCAAAUUUUGAGGUUCUGGACCCAAAUUUUGGGACCUUGACCCCAAAUUUCGGGGUCCUAGCCCUAAAUUUUGUGAUUCCGACCCCAAAUUUCGGGACCCCAGCCCCAUUUUUUGUACCCCGACCCCAAAUUUUGCGAUUCCGACCCCAAAUUUUUUGGAUUCCCCCCCCCCAAUAAA